RNAcentral lists this ribosomal RNA (253 nucleotides) under uncultured bacterium. RNAcentral's name for it is "partial 16S ribosomal RNA". It matches the Rfam family "Bacterial small subunit ribosomal RNA", at positions 524 to 776 of the family's 1533-position model. The record is from RNAcentral.
AACGUAGGGGACAAGCGUUAUCCGGAUUUACUGGGCGUAAAGCGCCCGUAGGCGGCCUGACAAGUUGGACGUGAAAGCUCCUGGCUUAACUGGGAGAGGCCGUUCAAAACUGUCAAGCUAGAGUCUGGAAGAGGAGAGCGGAAUUCCCGGUGUAGUGGUGGAAUGCGUAGAGAUCGGGAGGAACACCAGGGGCGAAAGCGGCUCUCUGGUCCAAAACUGACGCUGAGGGGCGAAAGCGUGGGGAGCAAACAGG